AACUUUUGACAAUGGAUCUCUUGGUUCUGGCAUCGAUGAAGAACGCAGCGAAAUGCGAUACGUAAUGUGAAUUGCAGAUUUCAGUGAAUCAUCGAAUCUUUGAACGCACAUUGCGCCCGCCAGUAUUCUGGCGGGCAUGCCUGUUCGAGCGUCAUUUCAACCAUCAAGCCCCCGGCUUGUGUUGGAGCCCUGCGGCCGCCGCAGACUCCCAAAUACAGUGGCGGGCUCGUCGUCGUACCGAGUGCAGUAAACAUCCUCGCUCAGGGAACGUGACGGGUUCUUGCCGUGAAACACCCCACAUAUCAAGGUUGACCUCGGAUCAGGUAGGAAUACCCGCUGAACUUAAGCAUAUCAAUAAGCGGAGGCU
This 367-nucleotide unclassified non-coding RNA is filed under the name uncultured Podospora. RNAcentral's name for it is "sequence contains ITS2". The stretch from base 1 to 154 matches the Rfam family "5.8S ribosomal RNA". Lineage: Eukaryota; Fungi; Ascomycota; Sordariomycetes; Sordariales; Lasiosphaeriaceae. The record is from RNAcentral.